CUGGCGGCGUGCUUAACACAUGCAAGUCGAACGGUGACGAGGAGCUUGCUCCUCUGAUCAGUGGCGAACGGGUGAGUAACACGUGAGCAACCUGCCCCAGACUCUGGGAUAACAGUUGGAAACAGCUGCUAAUACCGGAUACGAGACGGAGAGGCAUCUCUACCGUCUGGAAAGUUUUUCGGUCUGGGAUGGACUCGCGGCCUAUCAGCUAGUUGGUGAGGUAAUGGCUCACCAAGGCGACGACGGGUAGCCGGCCUGAGAGGGCGACCGGCCACACUGGGACUGAGACACGGCCCAGACUCCUACGGGAGGCAGCAGUGGGGAAUAUUGCACAAUGGGCGAAAGCCUGAUGCAGCGACGCCGCGUGAGGGAUGACGGCCUUCGGGUUGUAAACCUCUUUCAGCAGGGAAGAAGCGAAAGUGACGGUACCUGCAAAAGAGAGCACCGGCUA
Molecule: ribosomal RNA, 451 nt
Filed under: uncultured Nostocoides sp.
Lineage: Bacteria; Bacillati; Actinomycetota; Actinomycetes; Micrococcales; Intrasporangiaceae
Description: bacterial SSU rRNA
Rfam family: Bacterial small subunit ribosomal RNA
Source: RNAcentral